CUAGUAAUCACAGGUCAGCAUACUGUGGUGAAUGCGUUCCCGGGCCUUGUACACACCGCCCGUCACACCAUGAGAGUUGAGAAUACCCGAAGCCCAUGUCAAAGUGGUCGAAGGUAGGCUUGAUGAUUGGGGUGAAGUCGUAACAAGGUAGC
This 152-nucleotide ribosomal RNA is filed under the name uncultured bacterium. RNAcentral's name for it is "partial 16S ribosomal RNA". It matches the Rfam family "Bacterial small subunit ribosomal RNA", at positions 1335 to 1500 of the family's 1533-position model. The record is from RNAcentral.